UACGAAGGGGGCUAGCGUUGCUCGGAAUCACUGGGCGUAAAGGGUGCGUAGGCGGGUUUUUAAGUCAGGGGUGAAAUCCUGGAGCUCAACUCCAGAACUGCCUUUGAUACUGAGGAGCUCGAGUCCGGGAGAGGUGAGUGGAACUCCGAGUGUAGAGGUGAAAUUCGUAGAUAUUCGGAAGAACACCAGUGGCGAAGGCGGCUCACUGGCCCGGUACUGACGCUGAGGUGCGAAAGCGUGGGGAGCAAACAGG
This 253-nucleotide ribosomal RNA is filed under the name uncultured bacterium. RNAcentral describes it as "partial 16S ribosomal RNA". It matches the Rfam family "Bacterial small subunit ribosomal RNA", at positions 524 to 776 of the family's 1533-position model. The record is from RNAcentral.